Molecule: small RNA, 127 nt
Filed under: Marmota monax (woodchuck)
Lineage: Eukaryota; Metazoa; Chordata; Mammalia; Rodentia; Sciuridae
Source: RNAcentral
GCUGGGCACAGUGGCGCAUGCCUGUAAUCCCAGAGGCUCAGGAGGCUAAAGGCAGGAGGAUCGUGAGUUCAAAAACCAGCCUCAGCAAAAGCGAGGUGCUAAGCACCUCAGUGAGACCCUGUCUCUA